RNAcentral lists this ribosomal RNA (440 nucleotides) under uncultured bacterium. RNAcentral's name for it is "partial 16S ribosomal RNA". It matches the Rfam family "Bacterial small subunit ribosomal RNA", at positions 338 to 795 of the family's 1533-position model. The record is from RNAcentral.
CCUACGGGUGGCAGCAGUGGGGAAUAUUGCACAAUGGGGGAAACCCUGAUGCAGCGACGCCGCGUGAGUGAAGAAGUAAUUCGUUAUGUAAAGCUCUAUCAGCAGGGAAGAAAAUGACGGUACCUGAGUAAGAAGCCCCGGCUAACUACGUGCCAGCAGCCGCGGUAAUACGUAGGGGGCAAGCGUUAUCCGGAUUUACUGGGUGUAAAGGGAGCGUAGACGGCAGUGCAAGUCUGGAGUGAAAGGCGUGGGCUCAACCCCCAGACUGCUCUUGAAACUGUACGGCUGGAGUGCAGGUGAGGUAAGUGGAAUUCCUAGUGUAGCGGUGAAAUGCGUAGAUAUUAGGAGGAACACCAGUGGCGAAGGCGGCUUACUGGACUGUAACUGACGUUGAGGCUCGAAAGCGUGGGGAUCAAACAGGAUUAGAUACCCCUGUAGUC